RNAcentral lists this transfer RNA (85 nucleotides) under Felis catus (domestic cat). It matches the Rfam family "tRNA". Rfam says of the family: Transfer RNA (tRNA) molecules are approximately 80 nucleotides in length. Their secondary structure includes four short double-helical elements and three loops (D, anti-codon, and T loops). Lineage: Eukaryota; Metazoa; Chordata; Mammalia; Carnivora; Felidae. The record is from Rfam by way of RNAcentral.
ACCUGGAUGGCUCAGUGGGUUGAGCAUCUGACUUCAGCUCAGGUCAUGAUCUAACAGUUUGUGGGUUCGAGCCCCGCGUCGGGCU